Cyanistes caeruleus (blue tit) is the source of this 6190-nucleotide non-coding RNA. Lineage: Eukaryota; Metazoa; Chordata; Aves; Passeriformes; Paridae. The record is from RefSeq and is a predicted model, not a curated record.
CGCCGCCCCCGGCCCGGCCCGGCCCCGCCGUGCGCGGACCGCCGGAUCCCAACAAAGCGCGGAAAGAAACGCACAAAGCAUCAAAAGGCAUCAGCGCCAAUAUUAGCGCUGAAAAUGGAAGAACUGCUCGGUUUUAUCCCUCUGCCCCUGCCCAGACCUGCGGGACCCUGCGGUGGAGACAGACCUCCUCGGGACACAGCUCUCUGCUCUAAAAACUGAAUGCUACUAAAGCCAGUACUGUUAAAUUGGUCUGCUCUUGAACAUUCCUGGGCCAGAAGAAAACAAACAAAAAUGCUUAAUAAUUAAGUAGGUAAUCCAGAAAUUAUGUUUUUUUCGUGAAUCCUUUUACAGUCUUUCUAGAUAUUUUAUUAUUUUAAAACAAAGUUUCUUUGCUGCAUUUUCUCAGAGCUCAAAGCUACUUCCCAAUUUAUUCCUCAACAACAUUACUCUUACUAUAGAACUGUGAGUAUGCUGGAUGAGACUCCUCUAUGUUAUAAUUCCUCUGCGUCUUGCUCUGUACUAUCCCUUCCGAGUUCUGUCUCCUGCGCUGCACAACCAUUGAGCUAUUUGUUAGAAAUCCCAGACCAUGGGUUUUUUUAAAUUUUGCUAUGACAUUUUUAACCAUAUGGAAAUGACACUCAUGAAGAUGCAGGAAGACACCAGACAGCCAUUCUAAGCCAAAUAAAUCUGUAAUGAAACCUUCAUAAAGAAAGUCACUAUUGUCACAAAAACCAAAACUGGAAAGCAACACAAGUGUUUUGAGAUUAGAACGUGAAACACGCUUGUACCACAGAGGACAGGAUCUAUGUGUACUUAGCAACAAAAGCCAUUUAAUCCAACAGAGCUCUUUUAUUCUGGUAAUAAUUUCAUGAUUCGAAAAUAUGCACAGCCAUAAAAUGAUUGAACAGUUGUAAAUCAUCAUGCACAAUGAAAACCAUUUCAAAGGUUCUCCAGCAUCUACGAAAAAACGGCAAAGCCUUUUGCAGGCUGAAAAUACCGCUCCCCCUCAGUGAGAUGGAACGCAGAUAAAAUAUCCUAAAGGAAUAUAUCCUCUCAGUAAUGGCUUACAAACCUAUUCCAUCUAGAAUAAGAAAUAAAUUUUUAACUGACAAACAUAUAGGAGAAGGUGGAAAGAAAACCCUGAGGCCACUACAUAUUUAAAACCUGAAGAUUUUAUUUGGAAAAAUAGGUUUGUACUUUUCACAAUUGCAAAGAUAACCAUCCAUAUAUGAGCAAAUGCAAAGCAAUGCAAUGUUGUCUUGAGUCUGCACAGAGGGAGCUCCAGGGUAUCUGCUGCUGCUAAUGGCUUUGCCAAGCAGCAGCCGAGUGCAGGGAACAAGCCUCCUGUCAGUUCCCUGCUGCUCCACGCAAUCCUGUGGGCAGCAGGGAAAUUGGCAGGAAUCACCUCAAAUUCUCACUACUGCUGCUGCCUGCAAAAGCCAUUAGCAGCAGCAGCAGGUAUGGACCCUGGUGGUGCUCACACUGCAGAGCUAGCCCAGAAAAAUACUCAGGGAACAGAUCAGAACAACAGCUGUAGAAUUCCUCACACAUGCCCUGACCCACAGCCAGGGGAGCAUCUUUUUGGCACUAUUCAAGGGAAUUUGACAUGCUGUCUCACAGGAGUAGAAGGUGCCCUACACAGAUAUUAAUGAUUUCUUAGUUAAACAAUGGAAAAACAGUCAAGUUACCAGGCAAUAUCAAGAAGCAGAAUCAUGACAGCAUCCUUCCAAUAGCCAGCAGUACUCUGCUAAACAGGCUUUUCAUAGAAAGGCAUUUCCUCCAACACUUUGUUGUGUUUGCAUAGGACAUGUGUUUGAAGAUGUUCACUGGCAUAACAGUCCUUCUCCCAGCAAGGACAAACCACCAUCCUCAACUUACAGACAUCAGUUUUUUCUGCUCUGAAGCCUAAACCCAUUUUCAUUUGCUCCAUAACAACAAAUAAUUCCUUCACAUUCUCUGCAUAUCACUACAAAAGAAGCCCCAAGAAGGUGAAUUUAACACUGAAACUACUUCUACCUCCUAGAAAACCCUCCCAAAUCCUGCCUUAUCUGUUCCAAUAGUAAAACAUGGCACUCUAAGAACACCUCUCCUACAGUAGGUAUGGCCAUUCACAAUGGAAUAGCAUUACUUUCAGUUCUGUGUGUGCACAAAACCUUUCAGAGUCUCCAAAGUUGCACUCAUUCUUGAUAUAUUCUAGGAACUGAAUAUAUCAAUUAUAUUGAUAUAUUCAAUAUAUCAGACAAUGCUUUUCACUGAAAUUUUAACAAGUCACACAUUUGUGAUUGAAUUAUACAAGGCACUUUAGUGAAAUAAUGUUUUUCAUUUGUGGGUCUACUGACCAUUAGAUUAGCUGCCACUAAGAGCUAAAUUAUGACCCUAAGGAGUGUAACAACAGAAAGUUAAGGUUUACAUCUGCAAUGCCUUGAGUGAUUCUUUCACUCCUGUUGGAAGCAGUACACACCUGCAGGAAGAUGCUCAGACCAAGUACUGUCUGCCUUGAGAGCCUAACAAGUUCUUGACAGUGUACCAAGGUCCUCAGGAAAUCAACAUGACCUUGACAUCAACUGCACUAAAAGCAGCUACAAUUAGCCACCUGGAAACUUGAUCUUUAUGCAUUACGACAUUACCUUUGUUCAUGUUUAUUACUAAACAAGGCAUCUCUUUGUGCAUGUCAAGUCACCAGAACAGUAUUAAUAUCAGAACCAUAGUGCAAAUAAAUAAAUUGCAUGACUUAAUAGUUUGGGGACUUCGUUCAAAUGGGCUUCUCAUUUUUUUCACAUUAUAAUCACAUGAAAACUGGAAAACUGCAGUUGCUUUUAACUCACUACAGUGAAAAAUCUUAAAGGUAAAUCCAUUCAUCAUUUGAAUUAUAAAAUUGUAUUUAGGAAUGCAACUCUAAAAAUCCCCAAAGCAUGUAUUCAACUCAGUGAUGCCUGAAUUUCAUACUAUUCUGAACUUCUUUCCCCUAUCUGCAAAAAUAAGUCUCUGAUGACUUUUAAUGGUGGAUUUGUAAUUAAAAAGUUUAUCUAUUUAAAAAACACAAAACCUCUAUCUGUAAACUACUUACAAUAUCUAUGUGUCACCUGACAUGCAUGCAGAAAGGCAUCUCCUUUGCUGCAUGGCAGUCCCAGCAAAAGAUGUAGUUUUCUCUAGACAGUAAACUGAGAUUUUCAGUUAAUCAGGCUACUUUUACACAUAUAAUGGGAAGAUCACCUAAAUAUGGAACAGGGUUUCUUUCCUCCAGAGACAACUCCCUCCAGAGUUCAUUCUGAACUGCUUUUUAUUUUCUUGUUCAAGUCCCACACCAUCUGCUGGGACUGCUUCACAAAGCCAAGAGCACUGGCAAAUGAAGAUCUGUGGGGUUCUAUCAUUUUUCCAGUCUCUUUGGUGCAUAUAUGGGACUAUUAAGACAGCCAAUGAAGUAUUCCAAAUUGUGGUUCUUUCAAUAUGCUGAUAGUAUGCUUCCUUCUUUUUCUGGCUUAUUAUAACUACUAAUGAAUUUCUCAGUAUUUAAUGGAUACAGAAUUUCAAGACACACAUUUAUGAAACCUAACCCAAAUUAAAAUAGGCAUGCUACAGAUAGAUUAUGAAAAAAAAAAAAGAACAAGAUACCAGGUGAGAGUCUAUCCUUUUCAUCUUCCAUAUUUGUUAUCUAUAACAUUGGUAAAUGAAUGGCUAACAAUUACAGCACUUUGGCCAGACAGCAGUUUUUAUCUGUGUAACAGUCACUUCAGAGCAUACAUCUGUGAUUUAGGAUGUGAAUGUGGUUUAUGCCUCACUAGGCAUUUAGCACCAUGCUUAUAACCUAAUUUUAAAUUUCUGUGCAAAUGAAAACACUAAUGGAAAAGUCAGCAACCUUAAACUAGUCAUGUUUCGACAAUGAAACAUGCACCUGUUGGCACGUCACACUCUCUACAUAGGAUGUUGUUUCACAUCCCAGUGCUACAGAACCCAGUAAUAAUAUCACUAAUCAUGUUUUGCCACUAAUACAGUGGAGAUACCAUAGUUGUCAUUAGUAGCAGCUUCUAAACCAGUGACCUGCCUUAUCUUUCAUAGGGGCAAGAUCAAGCCAUGUCCAUAUAAGCAGCUGCUAACCUGGGUGUGCUGCAGAGGCAGCAUCAGAAGUUACAGAAUGAGUCUGUGGCACACAUUUUGCUUCCAUUUGGAAGAGAUUGUUUGAAGAAAGUAUUUUGGGGCCCAGUGCCAACUAUAGUUUUCUGAAUAUUUAGUAGUGGUAUGAAAACUGUGUGUAAUUUGCAUGGUAACUCUUAAAGGAGGCACUAUGUAAUGGAGCAUACUAAAUUGCCAGGAAAUGAAAGAAAUUGAGAACUUCAUCCCACUUGCUCUGCCAAGCUGCUGCAUUUAAUGUGUUUCAGUUUUCAGUGGUUUGGUGUUCUGUGCCCAUCAUGUACCCAACUUCUCUUGGGUUCCCGUCUGUAAUGUAACAGCUAUUUGAAAAAUGGCAGACAAUGCCAACAAAACCCACUGCCUCAGCAAAACUUCUCAGUGCUCUUCUACAUGCAGGGCCAGAACACCCAGAACUUGCACUGGUCUAAGCGUGAUGCAGGGCACACUUUGUGGUGCAUUAUGGCAGUAUCACCACACUUACCAUAAGAAAACCAUGGGCUCCUGCCUAUGAAAAAAAUGUUACUAUUAUCAUAUCCAAGGCACCUGGUGGAUGCACCACUGAGUUUAGGCUCAGACCAAAUUCACAGUCAUGCCAUACUUCUACUUUAAAAUUUUCUUCUUUAGUCUACGGGUCAAAACGUUCCGGCAAAAACUUCCGUUUCUUUCUCACAUUCUUGCCUAAUCUUAACCUUACAAAUUUUGCAAUUACUUGACUCCUUGAAAAACAGGAAUGACUAAAGUCUCUACUCUAUAAAAGGCAACUCAGGUUUCAGUUCACUGUUUGAAACGACUCUUAUGUGGACAUCUGGAAAUAAAUCUGUAAAAUACUUCACCAAAUAGUUACAGAGAAGAAAAAUCAAACAUGUAUUUCUGUUUUAAAAAGAGUAGUCAUUAGGGUUCAAAAUCCUCAGGUAAAGCUCUGAAAUAUAUUGAUCCACUGAAAUCUAACAUCAUCCAACACCUUCUUGGAUGGUACAGAUAAGAACUUGCUUCUCCUGGAACACAUGCACAUACAUAUGCCUGAUUUUACAACUGGAAAAGUUUGUUUAACAUGUAAAGCCGGAUAGCGUCUAUCCCCAGUGCUUUUUUAAUGACCUUUUAAACUCCAGAAAAAAAAUAACAUGACUGAAACUGCUCUAAUUUAAGGUGACAAAAUCCUUUUAAAUGUUUUAAAGUCAUUUUAAAAUGAUUUAAAGGUAAAAUAAUGAAGAAUUGACUGCAGAAGUCUUCAGAACAGAAAACAAAAUUGCAACCAACUUAAAAUUCAACUGAAUUUUCACAAGUUGCCAUUUACCCACCCAUGUUCUAUAUGACCACUACUUUUAUGUGCCACUGAGAAAGUUAUUUUCUCUUUUUUUUUUUCCUUAUCAACCAGAGAAGAAGGCCAGAAGACAAAAAGCCUACCCAAACUACCUUCAAAAAGAACAUCACAUGAAGAGUUUUCUUUCCUCUUAAUUCUAAUAUCCAAGAGUGUCAAGGACCAAAGUUCCUGCUACAACAGAGUUAGCACAUCAGGCUGAGCCUUACCUAGGCCUCGUGGACAACAGCUGCAAUGACUUAAAGAUAAAAAAUGCAUAUAUACUGCAUCUUCUUAUCCUUCUGAGGACUACAAACAGGUUUCCUGGAAUCCAUUUUCUCUUCACCCUUCACCCCAAGUAUGCUCAGGGAGCCCAAGAGCCUCCACAGCCCUGUUCCCAACCCUUCGUGCUGCUCCCACGGCAGGACUGCUCACACACGCCCCGACGCGACCACCUUCCCAUGAGAGCUGCUGGAUCCUGGAGGCUACAGACAUCUCUGACAAGAGUGGCUACUUGGGUGCACCCUCUUUUUUUUGAGGCAGGGAAGGGGAAAGAAAGGAAAUGUUUAUCAAAACCAACAGAUUGCAUCUGCUGCAUCAUUCGCUUAAUCAAGCUCAUCUCAACCACACUGCUGGAUAUCCGUGUCCCAUGAACAUCACACCACAGUUCAUAGAAGAAGUUUCACUGGUGCUGAUUAGAAACUGAAGAAUGCCAAGGAUGGAUCUGAGUUUGAGACGGUGCCCGAACGAGUUCAGAUGACGGUG